This 619-nucleotide long non-coding RNA is filed under the name Erythranthe guttata (spotted monkey flower). RNAcentral's name for it is "long non-coding RNA (EGUT_LNC001627)". Lineage: Eukaryota; Viridiplantae; Streptophyta; Magnoliopsida; Lamiales; Phrymaceae. The record is from RNAcentral.
AAAUAUUAGAAUUUUAAGUUAUUGGCCCAUUCAACAAAAUAAACCCACCCACCAUCCACCUCAUCUUUUGCUUCAAACCUAAUUAUUUGACUUCCUAGCUGCGCCGCUCUGCUUCUCUUUUACUAGACUUUUUUCUUCUUCUUCUUCAACAUUCAGCUGCAUUCCAUAUGAUAAUGAUCGUUUCUUCGAGCACCCAAAGGGUAAAGACGUCUUUGUCGGGCUGUCUUAAGCCUUGGCGGUCACGGAUCUCAGCUAUUUACAAAUAUGUUUUUCUAUUUUUCUAACCUUGGUAGAAAUUUUAGGAAUUAUUGUGUGUAAUAUGUUCAUUUUUUCUUGAUAAGAUAAAUUUUUGAUUGUUUUCCUGUGUGGAGAGAUUUGCCAUCGAUUCUUGUUGGGUUUAAGCUGCGUUUUCGGUUUUCGAAAAAAAAUUCUUGUUCUUCCCUUUUAUUCCGAAAAUUUCUGAAAAUUCCGAAAAUUCCGAAAAAAUCGGAAUCGGAACUCAUUUUCAGAUUCCGAAAAUUUCGGAAUCGGAAUCGGAAGUGAUAUUAGAGUUCCGAAAAAAAUUGGAAUUUUUCCGAAGAGCCUGUAUCCGAUCCGAUCCGUCCGAUCUCCACCCCUA